RNAcentral lists this ribosomal RNA (253 nucleotides) under uncultured prokaryote. Its description in RNAcentral is "partial 16S ribosomal RNA". It matches the Rfam family "Bacterial small subunit ribosomal RNA", at positions 524 to 776 of the family's 1533-position model. The record is from RNAcentral.
UACGAAGGGGGCUAGCGUUGUUCGGAUUUACUGGGCGUAAAGCGCACGUAGGCGGAUCGUUAAGUCGGGGGUGAAAUCCUGGAGCUCAACUCCAGAACUGCCUUCGAUACUGGCGAUCUUGAGUCCGGAAGAGGUGAGUGGAACUCCUAGUGUAGAGGUGGAAUUCGUAGAUAUCAGGAGGAACACCGGUGGUGUAGACGGCUUUCUGGACCGUAACUGACGCUGAGACACGAAAGCGUGGGUAGCAAACAGG